CCCGGGCCUUGUACACACCGCCCGUCACACCAUGGGAGUGGGCUGCAAAAGAAGUGGGUAGUUUAACCUUCGGGAGGACGCUCACCACUUUGUGGUUCAUGACUAGGGUGAAGUCGUAACAAGGUAGCCCUAGGGGAACCUGGGGCUGGAUCACCUCCUUAUACGAAGAU
RNAcentral lists this ribosomal RNA (170 nucleotides) under Vibrio sp. 070316B. RNAcentral's name for it is "partial 16S ribosomal RNA". It matches the Rfam family "Bacterial small subunit ribosomal RNA", at positions 1373 to 1533 of the family's 1533-position model. The record is from RNAcentral. Lineage: Bacteria; Pseudomonadati; Pseudomonadota; Gammaproteobacteria; Vibrionales; Vibrionaceae.